Molecule: long non-coding RNA, 2625 nt
Organism: Mauremys reevesii (Reeves's turtle)
Lineage: Eukaryota; Metazoa; Chordata; Testudines; Geoemydidae
Exons: 2
Source: RefSeq, a predicted model, not a curated record
CCCAUAAAAGGCAGCGAGUGGGUAUUUUGUCACCAUCCUGGAAUGUUAUCAAAGGUGGUGUAGCUAAUGGAGGACUCUGUAGAAGCCAAAAGGUCACUAGAAGCAGAAUCCCCCAAGGCCUCCAGGGGGCAGGAGACAAACUGGAGAGAGACCCAGGUGGGUGAACUCAAACCAGUAAACCCCUUCUGAGGGGUCCAACCCAAGGAUGCCAUUCCAGAAGGUCAAACCACCCAUUAGACCAGGGGUAGUCCAAGGCGAACAAGGGGUAGUCCAAGGAGACACAAUACCACCAAUGGGACCACCGGGCACCUUGAAAAACUAGAGUAGGACUCGCAGACCACAGUUCAGCCACUAUUCCACAACUGAGUUCAUCCCCUGACCUAGGAAAGAUACUCGAAGCACCAGCCAGUAACUUGUGACUCCUGUGGGCAGAUAAGACAUAUGAGGAGAGAGUGCCCUGUUAUGGGAUGUGAACAUGCACAGAGCUGGAAGGCACAAGCCUGUGCUCAGAAAAAGACUCUCUUCUCUCUAAGACAUUGAUGGCACCAGUGAUGGCCCAAGGGAAGAGGAUUCAAUAUACCAUGCUGUGGAAGUUUGUUUUGUAUACUCACCAUCCCAUUCCGAUUUUUGGACAGGUUCCUAGAUCCAGAGAAUGUAGAUGUCAUGGGAAUUUGUGGUCAUGGAGGGAGACCAUUCUCUCAGUUAUCUAACAAUAUAGUAGGGUUUGAAUACGGAGGCAGAGACCUGGAACUAUACUAUGGGUUCAUCACAGAGCCAGUGCAGAAAGCAGAACACAAGGAUACUGUGUUCAUGAUGCCAUGUGUUAACUAAACAGGCAGGCUGCUGUAACUGGAGCUAUCCCUAAAUAAAGGGAGUUGAGAUCAUCAAGCCUAGAAGUCACAAAUGCACCCUGCAGAGGGUGCAUUUUCCCGACAAGCUGCAGGUGGAAAUAGCCUUUGUUUUGUUUUUUUCUACCAUGGCUAUUUGGGCAUCCAACAGCAUUCAGGAGUCUGAAAGAACUUAAGGCUGCUGCAGACCAAUUUAACUAACUGAAGGUAGAAUCUCUUGAUAGUGGAGGAUGUUAAAGAAGGAGAUCCUACAAAGCACUUUCCUCUUGCAACCAGCAUCUCCCUUCAGUUUUGCCUGAGUUCAGGUGCCAAACUCAGGUAAUCACUGACCAAGCUAAGAUAGGGUGCAGGUUAUAUUUGGAGGAAAAAGAGAGGGUAGAGGUGGGUCUCCUCUGACACUUCAGCCCAUGAUGUCUCACCAGCUCUUCCAGCAGUCUCUAGAACUGUAUAAUAUAGUAGAAAGAACUGAGCUCUGUAAGACUCUCCUAAUGGAAGAAAAAUUGCCUAUAAACAACCUUUCAGUUUGGUCUGAAAGGAGACUUGAGCUCCUUCAGAGAGUUUCCAAUCACUCUUGCAGCUUUUUGGAGUCAGGAUGUGAGGUAACACUACCAAAUGUUACACAGAGGUAUAGCAGGAUAAGUAUUGAUAGAGUUCCCUUGUCUAGAGAUAGGAGGAGGUCAUUUAUGGGAGCAAAAAGUGCUGCCUCAGUAUCAUAAUGUGGCCUGAGGUCUGACUGAGAAGGAUUCUGGGAGCUGACAGGUUGUACUGGAGACUAUUAUCUGCUACCUCUCAAUUAACUUGCUUAGAAAAAAGAAGUUAGGCCUGGGGUGGUCUCUGGUGUUGAACAAGAGUUUCUUUAGUACAAAACAUACUAAUGCAUAUUUUAGCCAGCAUGAGAUUAAAGAAGGUGUUGACAAUCUGUGUACUGGAGAGUCCCAGGUGUUUUCCACUCUGCUACAAUCCACAAAGUGCAGGGCUCAGAGGCUACAUCUCCUUUUCUUCAAUUUUGAUUGCUCUGGUCUCUGUUUUCCCAGUGUCUGACAGAGGUAAUGAUCUGAAUAGGAAAAGUUGGAUUCAACUCAGAUAAGAAACUGUCAGGAGGACUGGGGCUGUAAGCUUGGAGCUAUGACAGUUCAUCUCAGAUGAGGACCUUGCCAGGCCUUUGUAAUCUCAAGGCUCUACAUAGUGCUAUUUCUGAAAAGCACCCAGAAGCUUUUCAGUGCAGCCAGUCUCUUGUCUCCAGAAUGGACCAGGCCAUAUAAUACCAACAGUGACUAGGCCAGCCAUGAUGACAUAUGGUUCAGAAUGCUGGCCAAUGGGGAAGAGAGAAGAACAGCUGCUUCAUACUGCCGAGAUGAAAAUGCUCAGGUGAAUGCUGAGUAAGAUGAAAAUUGAUAGACUAUACAAUGAAAUGAUGCAAGCCAUGGUGCAGGUACCCUCCAUCCUGGAAAAGCUGAGUGAGAGUAUUAACUGAAAUGGUUCAGUCAUGUGAGACAAUGAGACACAGGAUAAGUUGGCCAGAGAGUACAAGAUCUAAUAGUCACGGGACAAAGACUAGGAGGAAGACCCAGAAAAAGAUAGUCGAGGUGGUGAAGGAGGACAUGAAGAAUGUCAGUGUCAGAUUGGAAGGCACACUUGACAGGAAUGCUUGGAGAUGAAGAACAAGAGCUCAGGACAAAGCAAAAAAGACGACUUAAUUUCUGCAAAUUGCCUACAUGCUAAGGAGAUGGGCAGUGUACCAAAUCUUAAAGAACUAAUUAAAGAAUAAUUGACUGGU